CAUAUAUAAAAUCGACUUAUUCUCUCUCAACGGCAACCUACAUCCGCGCAUUACUAGUCGCACGAGCUUAUUACGGUAAAUCAGCUGUUUCGAUUCCUCUCGGUACAAGAGUCGAUACAUCUGAAGCAUUUCAUACGGAUUCAUUAUCCAGAGCUCUAGUAUUUUGCUUCUUAUUAUAUAUCUAGAGACACACAAUUAUUAAAUCUGGAAAUAUAUUCUUAUCGGAACAAAGUCCGCACGAUCAUCAUCAAAACUUAGUUUGAAAAAAAUCCUAGAAAAUUCUUGCUAAAGAAAUAACAUUCAAUAUAUAAUAUAAUAUAUAUCUUGCAUGCAUACGUGCGUAUCUCCGAUGAACCGCGGGAAUAGUUGGCGAAUACAGACACUCGAGGGUCAACAAGUAAGACAGAGGUUUAGUUUCUCACUUUCAUCGCGUUACAGUGAUGUCAUUCUCGUUUAUCGCGCUGAUGUCAAUGUAAUAAUUACGGCGAACGAUAACGAUAAGAAGAGCAGCGUUCGAAGAAGGCAGGCGAUUGCGUGGAAAAUAAGCACGUUCUUGAUAUACACACGUUGGAAGUGAUGACUGCAAAUAUUUGCGUGAUUCAUAGGAAAUGAUUACGCGUUACUAUAAAAGGAUCAUUGUAUUGCGCGAAUAAUUAUAUAAUAUCGUAUAUGUAUCGUGCAAUCGUGCUAUUUUUAUAAUAAAUGUAUACAAUAUCUUUCAAUUUCGAACUUUUAUCCAAGAAAUUAAACAAACACAAAUACAUUUUUUUCCUUAUUUGAUUUAUCAUUUCUCAUGACAUCAUUAUUCAUAUCACGCAUUACUUCGCUGCGGACAAUAGCGUGUCAUUAGCGAAAGGAAACCGCAAUUGCCAGAAAGAAUAAUUAUGAUGCAACGUUGCAGAUUUACGCUC
Long non-coding RNA from Formica exsecta, 911 nucleotides. RefSeq lists it as uncharacterized. The record is from RefSeq and is a predicted model, not a curated record. Lineage: Eukaryota; Metazoa; Arthropoda; Insecta; Hymenoptera; Formicidae. The transcript is spliced from 4 exons.